This 235-nucleotide long non-coding RNA is filed under the name Mytilus galloprovincialis (Mediterranean mussel). Lineage: Eukaryota; Metazoa; Mollusca; Bivalvia; Mytilida; Mytilidae. The record is from RNAcentral.
GAAUUUAGGACAUGUUGAUGAAAACACAGAAUAAAUUUUAGGGGGAAUUUCUAAACAGGAUGUUUAAACAAUAUGAACAAGCUAAGUAUACGUUGAAGCAUUAAGAGAUUUCGAAGAAAAGAUUUACGUUUAUCAAAAAUGGAAUAGGACAAUUUAUCAUUUGUGGUUUAUCAAAAUUUUGUGUGACAACAAAAAAACAAGAAAUUGAAAGCGUAUAUAAAGAGCGAUGACAAGG